RNAcentral lists this ribosomal RNA (174 nucleotides) under Enterococcus faecium. RNAcentral's name for it is "partial 16S ribosomal RNA". It matches the Rfam family "Bacterial small subunit ribosomal RNA", at positions 1 to 159 of the family's 1533-position model. Lineage: Bacteria; Bacillati; Bacillota; Bacilli; Lactobacillales; Enterococcaceae. RNAcentral also lists the same sequence under 1 other name. The record is from RNAcentral.
UUUUAUGAGAGUUUGAUCCUGGCUCAGGACGAACGCUGGCGGCGUGCCUAAUACAUGCAAGUCGAACGCUUCUUUUUCCACCGGAGCUUGCUCCACCGGAAAAAGAGGAGUGGCGAACGGGUGAGUAACACGUGGGUAACCUGCCCAUCAGAAGGGGAUAACACUUGGAAACAG